CUACGGGUCGCUGCAGUGGGGAAUAUUGCGCAAUGGGCGAAAGCCUGACGCAGCAACGCCGUGUGAGGGAUGAAGGCUUUCGGGUCGUAAACCUCUGUCAGAAGGGAAGAACGGGUAUUGGUCUAAUAGGCCUUUAUUUUGACGGUACCUUCAGAGGAAGCACCGGCUAACUCCGUGCCAGCAGCCGCGGUAAUACGGAGGGUGCAAGCGUUAUUCGGAAUUACUGGGCGUAAAGCGCACGUAGGCCGCUUUGUAAGUCAGGGGUGAAAUCCCACGGCUCAACCGUGGAACUGCCUUUGAACUGCAGGGCUUGAAUCCUGGAGAGGGUGGCGGAAUUCCUGGUGUAGGAGUGAAAUCCGUAGAUAUCAGGAGGAACACCGGUGGCGAAGGCGGCCACCUGGACAGGUAUUGACGCUGAGGUGCGAAAGUGUGGGGAGCAAACAGGAUUAGAUACCCUAGUAGUC
Molecule: ribosomal RNA, 464 nt
Filed under: uncultured bacterium
Lineage: Bacteria
Description: partial 16S ribosomal RNA
Rfam family: Bacterial small subunit ribosomal RNA
Source: RNAcentral